GUUCUACAUGCCAACCAAAUGUCCAAAACAAACCCAAUUACACAGGCCAACGCCAUCACAACAAACACAAUUCUGUAGCAAUGCCCUCCGAUGCACGUGUUCCCGCCGCCCUCGGUCGGGGUCGCUUCCAUGUCGUAGAGAAACCCUGCAAGGAGGCCAGAGAAGAGGAAGGAUCCGAUUGGGAGGUUGAGGAUGAGAAUGUUGUAGAUGAGACCGUAGUAUUUGAGACCGAAGAGCUCAGAGGCGGUGGGGACAGUGACGGAGAGACGAACGCCGUAGCAGAUCCCGACGAUGACCGAGCCGAUGUAGAGAGAACCUGGCAUUGCCAUGGCCAUCAAAACAUAUCCAAUGGUCAUUAGAAUUUGAGAUGUAGCGUUCCAUAGAGGUCUUGGUGUGCCUACUUUUUUGAGAAAAUGCUCGGAAAGUGUUCCGGAAAGAAUCCGGCCGAAAAAUCCCCAAAUACUUGUGAGAGAAACGAACACUGAAACAUCGGCGUAACCCAGAGCCAAUCCGAUCUGACCCAUAUUGUUCAUCACCGCCAAUCCCGUUCCAACUCCACACAGAAACGACACGAACAACACCCAGAAAUCAAUUGUUCUCACCGCUUCAAAAAUCGUGUGUUCUUCUCCGAUCACCGGCGCUCUCUGCUCUACCUCUGCAAUUUCCUCUGCUUCCUCCUUUACCGGCGCCGCAACUGCCUCUUCUUUCAGUAGCGGCUCCUCAAUUCGAGCUUCCAGAUCCGAUCCGGCUCGAUUCGAGUGCCAGCUCUUGAAAAACGUGUAAAUUGGGAUGAUCAAAGGGGAUCCGAGGAGAA
Molecule: unclassified non-coding RNA, 814 nt
Filed under: Hevea brasiliensis (rubber tree)
Lineage: Eukaryota; Viridiplantae; Streptophyta; Magnoliopsida; Malpighiales; Euphorbiaceae
Source: RNAcentral